GAGCUGGGUUUAGAACGUCGUGAGACAGUUCGGUCCCUAUCUGCCGUGGGUGUAGGAUACUUGAGAGGAGUUGCCCCUAGUACGAGAGGACCGGGGUGAACGAUCCACUGGUGGACCUGUUGUGGCGCCAGCCGCAGUGCAGGGUAGCUAUGAUCGGAAAGGAUAACCGCUGAAGGCAUCUAAGCGGGAAGCCCCCCUCAAAACAAGGUAUCCCUGAGAGCCGAGGUAGACCACCUCGUCGAUAGGCCGGAGAUGUAAGCGCAGCAAUGCGUUCAGUUGACCGGUACUAAUGGCUCGAUAGGCUUGAU
Molecule: ribosomal RNA, 308 nt
Filed under: Strombidium inclinatum
Lineage: Eukaryota; Ciliophora; Spirotrichea; Strombidiidae
Description: partial Bacterial large subunit ribosomal RNA
Rfam family: Bacterial large subunit ribosomal RNA
Source: RNAcentral